This 379-nucleotide ribosomal RNA is filed under the name uncultured bacterium. RNAcentral describes it as "bacterial SSU rRNA". It matches the Rfam family "Bacterial small subunit ribosomal RNA", at positions 521 to 898 of the family's 1533-position model. The record is from RNAcentral.
UAAUACGUAGGUGGCAAGCGUUGUCCGGAAUUAUUGGGCGUAAAGCGCGCGCAGGCGGUCUUUUAAGUCUGAUGUGAAAGCCCACGGCUCAACCGUGGAGGGUCAUUGGAAACUGGAAGACUUGAGUGCAGAAGAGGAGAGUGGAAUUCCACGUGUAGCGGUGAAAUGCGUAGAGAUGUGGAGGAACACCAGUGGCGAAGGCGACUCUCUGGUCUGUAACUGACGCUGAGGCGCGAAAGCGUGGGGAGCAAACAGGAUUAGAUACCCUGGUAGUCCACGCCGUAAACGAUGAGUGCUAAGUGUUAGAGGGUUUCCGCCCUUUAGUGCUGCAGCUAACGCAUUAAGCACUCCGCCUGGGGAGUACGACCGCAAGGUUGAA